This 656-nucleotide unclassified non-coding RNA is filed under the name Meloidogyne incognita (southern root-knot nematode). Lineage: Eukaryota; Metazoa; Nematoda; Chromadorea; Rhabditida; Meloidogynidae. The record is from RNAcentral.
UUAACUUGCCAGAUCGGACGGGAUGGCGUGCUUUCAACGCGGUAUGGUCGUAAUCAAUGGGUUGUCAAUUUCUUAAUAUUUAAAACAAAUUUCGCUGAGGCAAAGUGGGCGUGGAUUUCGAUGUUCGCUGUUCGCGGGAAUGGUUUAAAGGAAAACUCAAAUUGGGCUAAUCUAGAAACUCGUGGAGAGAAAUAAUAGGAUUAAAAAAUUUUUGAAAAAUUUAAAGUUUAUUAUUAUAAUAAGCUUUGUUUUUUGAAGAAUAAAGUUUAUUGUUAUUUAUUUUUUAAAACUUUUAAAGUUUAUAAAAUUAAACUUAUAACAAUAAACUUCUAACAAUCCUUUAUUGACUCUCGCUGCAAAAUUAAUUUGGCUUCUGGCAAUUGUCAGGAAUUUAGCCGAUUAUAACUUUUGUGAAUUUAUAAUUAUAAUUAAUUAUUGACAUUCUUUUGCAAAGGAUAUUUAGUAUGUUAUCAGCUGUCAUUAAUUUUUAAUUUUCGACUUUUAUUUCGGGAUUUUGAAUUCUAAAAUUAUCAAUGUAAUCAUUAUUAAUGACAGCUUAAUUACCAGCAGUCUCGGUAAUUCAAGCUUUGCUAAAUACCUAAAUAAAAGAUAUCUGGUUGAUCCUGCCUGAACUGAUGUGUUUAUUUCAAAGAUUA